RNAcentral lists this transfer RNA (74 nucleotides) under Myroides marinus. RNAcentral describes it as "tRNA-Trp". It matches the Rfam family "tRNA". From Rfam's summary of the family: Transfer RNA (tRNA) molecules are approximately 80 nucleotides in length. Their secondary structure includes four short double-helical elements and three loops (D, anti-codon, and T loops). The record is from RNAcentral. Lineage: Bacteria; Pseudomonadati; Bacteroidota; Flavobacteriia; Flavobacteriales; Flavobacteriaceae.
GCUUUGGUAGUGUAAUGGUAGCACAACAGUCUCCAAAAUUGUUAGUAGAGGUUCGAAUCCUUUCCAUUGUGCAA